This 250-nucleotide ribosomal RNA is filed under the name uncultured soil bacterium. Its description in RNAcentral is "partial 16S ribosomal RNA". It matches the Rfam family "Bacterial small subunit ribosomal RNA", at positions 26 to 285 of the family's 1533-position model. The record is from RNAcentral.
AGGACGAACGCUGGCGGCGUGCUUAACACAUGCAAGUCAAGGGGGCCCAGCAAUGGGCAACCGGCGAACGGGUGCGUAACACGUGAGCAACCUACCGAAAUGUGGGGGAUAGCCGGCCUAACGGCCGAGUAAUACCGCAUACGCUCUCGACGAGGCAUUUCAUUGAGAGGAAACCUACGGGACAUUUCGAGGGGCUCGCGGCCUAUCAGCUAGUUGGAGAGGUAACGGCUCACCAAGGCAACGACGGGUA